AUUGAACGCUGGCGGCAUGCUUUACACAUGCAAGUCGAACAGUAACAGGCCGCAAGGUGCUGACGAGUGGCGAACGGGUGAGUAAUGCAUCGGAACGUGCCCAGUCGUGGGGGAUAACUACUCGAAAGAGUAGCUAAUACCGCAUACGAUCUAUGGAUGAAAGCGGGGGACCGUAAGGCCUCGCGCGAUUGGAGCGGCCGAUGUCAGAUUAGGUAGUUGGUGGGGUAAAGGCUCACCAAGCCAACGAUCUGUAGCUGGUCUGAGAGGACGACCAGCCACACUGGGACCGAGACACGGCCCAGACUCCUACGGGAGGCAGCAGUGGGGAAUUUUGGACAAUGGGCGCAAGCCUGAUCCAGCAAUGCCGCGUGCAGGAAGAAGGCCUUCGGGUUGUAAACUGCUUUUGUACGGAACGAAACGGCUCUGGUUAAUACCCGGGGCUAAUGACGGUACCGUAAGAAUAAGCACCGGCUAACUACGUG
This 482-nucleotide ribosomal RNA is filed under the name uncultured bacterium. Its description in RNAcentral is "partial 16S ribosomal RNA". It matches the Rfam family "Bacterial small subunit ribosomal RNA", at positions 30 to 507 of the family's 1533-position model. The record is from RNAcentral.